GCCAGUGUGUCAUAGAGGUUUGAGCGCUGGACUCCAAAUCUGGAGAGCAGGGUUCGAUUCCCAGCUCAGCCA
Molecule: non-coding RNA, 72 nt
Organism: Phrynosoma platyrhinos (Desert horned lizard)
Lineage: Eukaryota; Metazoa; Chordata; Lepidosauria; Squamata; Phrynosomatidae
Source: the annotation of a GenBank genome assembly